Molecule: ribosomal RNA, 405 nt
Filed under: uncultured Glomeromycotina
Lineage: Eukaryota; Fungi; Glomeromycota
Description: SSU rRNA
Rfam family: Eukaryotic small subunit ribosomal RNA
Source: RNAcentral
AGCAGCCGCGGUAAUUCCAGCUCCAAUAGCGUAUAUUAAAGUUGUUGCAGUUAAAAAGCUCGUAGUUGAAUUUCGAGACCGGUUUACUGGUCGUGCUUUUGUACGUACUGGUAUUAUUGGUUUCUCCUUUCUGACGAACUAUAAUGCCAUUAAUUUGGUGUUUUAGGGAAUCAGGACUGUUACUUUGAAAAAAUUAGAGUGUUUAAAGCAGGCUCACGCUUGAAUACAUUAGCAUGGAAUAACGGAAUAGGACGUUUGAUUCUAUUUUGUUGGUUUCUAGGAUCGACGUAAUGAUUAAUAGGGAUAGUUGGGGGCAUUAGUAUUCAAUUGUCAGAGGUGAAAUUCUUGGAUUUAUUGAAGACUAACUACUGCGAAAGCAUUUGCCAAGGAUGUUUUCAUUAAUCA